GCCGUGAUGGCGCAGUGGUAACGCAUUUGACUUGUAAUCAAAAGAUCGGGAGUUCGAUUCUCCCUCGCGGCUA
This is a non-coding RNA of Cylindrotheca closterium, 73 nucleotides long. The record is from the annotation of a GenBank genome assembly. NCBI's taxonomy places the organism in Eukaryota, Bacillariophyta, Bacillariophyceae, Bacillariales, Bacillariaceae.